This 832-nucleotide unclassified non-coding RNA is filed under the name Hevea brasiliensis (rubber tree). Lineage: Eukaryota; Viridiplantae; Streptophyta; Magnoliopsida; Malpighiales; Euphorbiaceae. The record is from RNAcentral.
GGUUAUAAAACAACAAAAUUAGCACCGAGAUACUGUUAAUUGGAUACUUUAGUGUCACUCGAUUACCUAAUCAUUACCGAUAUGGAAUUAUUCUGUUGGGGAAGAUUUAACAAUAUUUUUUGCUAGCCUGCCUAUCCCGAUAAGAAUAAUGGCCAAUGGCAUUACAUCCAGUGACAUCCUAUCCUCUCCACAGGAAGAGUAUGGGCUUACUUAUCCUCUAUAUAUCUGGCUGGGUUGACCCUUUUCUUCAAGCUUAAGUAGGUUAAACCCUUACGUCUCAUCAAAAGAAUUACCCCUCUAGACUUCUAGGGGAACUUCCAAUCUACAACAGGUAAAUCCACUCGAAAUAGAGAAAAUCCCAGGCCUAAGUCAUUCAUAAUGGUACAUGCUGCAGCAAACUCUUACUGAAAUAUGUUUUACUAGCAAUUGCAGUCACUGUGAUCUUCAUUAGAAGUUGAAACAAAGGACUCGAAACUGGGAAACCAAAAAAAUUUACGUCAGGCAACAUGGAGGAGAAUUUUCUUCCUUACAAGAAGCAAAAGAUGGAUUUAAACAUAUAACAGCCCAUGAUGAGACACUUCCCAGCUUCUAGGCUACUAACCCUUACAUUCAAAAUUCAUUAGAAUCUUCUGACAGUGAUCCCAACUCAAACUAUACUCUUAUGAUAACUUCCUCUCAUUUUGAAUCCAUUCCAAUGUUGGUAGCUUUAACUUUUCAAUUGGAUUUGGUUUUAGUUUUGAGAUCCUGCAAAACUAAUAAUGUCACUGAGGAGAUACUGGAAAGGUCAAAAUCUCAACCUAAAAAGUUAAAAUCACAGCUAGCUGCAACACAG